GACGAACGCUGGCGGCGUGCCUAAUACAUGCAAGUUGAGCGCUGAAGGUUGGUACUUGUACCCACUGGAUGAGCAGCGAACGGGUGAGUAACGCGUGGGGAAUCUGCCUUUGAGCGGGGGACAACAUUUGGAAACGAAUGCUAAUACCGCAUAAAAACUUUAAACACAAGUUUUAAGUUUGAAAGAUGCAAUUGCAUCACUCAAAGAUGAUCCCGCGUUGUAUUAGCUAGUUGGUGAGGUAAAGGCUCACCAAGGCGAUGAUACAUAGCCGACCUGAGAGGGUGGUCGGCCACAUUGGGACUGAGACACGGCCCAAACUCCUACGGGAGGCAGCAGUAGGGAAUCUUCGGCAAUGGACGAAAGUCUGACCGAGCAACGCCGCGUGAGUGAAGAAGGUUUUCGGAUCGUAAAACUCUGUUGGUAGAGAAGAACGUUGGUGAGAGUGAAAAGCUCAUCAAGUGACGGUAACUACCCAGAAAGGGACGGCUAACUACGUG
This 497-nucleotide ribosomal RNA is filed under the name uncultured bacterium. Its description in RNAcentral is "partial 16S ribosomal RNA". It matches the Rfam family "Bacterial small subunit ribosomal RNA", at positions 28 to 507 of the family's 1533-position model. The record is from RNAcentral.